AUAAACCUAGAUAUUUGGCUUUAAGGUCAGCUUUUAGCUGUAUCCACGAUAAGGGUAUACUUGACCAUGUAUGGCAAAAAUUAGAAGCUAACCGUACUGCUACUUAAGGGAUUUGCCAAAGAAUAGUUGGGUCGCUACGCGGACAAUGUUUCGGUCAAUUGGUAUAAAAAUUUGUGAUAGUAACAAACAUACUCUGUUGAAGCUCAUGUUACCUAAAAUCAACUACACAUUAGACAAAGACCUUUAUGACGAGCUAAUUAGAUCAUGUCCUAUAAAUCAAAU
RNAcentral lists this unclassified non-coding RNA (282 nucleotides) under Hevea brasiliensis (rubber tree). Lineage: Eukaryota; Viridiplantae; Streptophyta; Magnoliopsida; Malpighiales; Euphorbiaceae. The record is from RNAcentral.